CUGAGCUGGUGAUGAUGUUAAGUUAUCCCUGUCUGAAAAAGAAACCUUCCUUUGUGGAAUUCUGAUUCUCUGAGGCUCAG
RNAcentral lists this small nucleolar RNA (80 nucleotides) under Chelonoidis abingdonii (Abingdon island giant tortoise). RNAcentral's name for it is "Small nucleolar RNA R38 (ENSCABG00000008597.1)". It matches the Rfam family "Small nucleolar RNA R38". From Rfam's summary of the family: snoR38 is a C/D box small nucleolar RNA conserved across yeast, human, Arabidopsis and rice. The record is from Rfam by way of RNAcentral. Lineage: Eukaryota; Metazoa; Chordata; Testudines; Testudinidae.